AAUCCAUAGGUUAAUGAGGCGAACCGGGGGAACUGAAACAUCUAAGUACCCCGAGGAAAAGAAAUCAACCGAGAUUCCCCCAGUAGCGGCGAGCGAACGGGGAGGAGCCCAGAGCCUGAAUCAGCAUGUGUGUUAGUGGAAGCGUCUGGAAAGGCGCGCGAUACAGGGUGACAGCCCCGUACACAAAAGCGCAUGUGCUGUGAGCUCGAUGAGUAGGGCGGGACACGUGGUAUCCUGUCUGAAUAUGGGGGGACCAUCCUCCAAGGCUAAAUACUCCUGACUGACCGAUAGUGAACCAGUACCGUGAGGGAAAGGCGAAAAGAACCCCGGCGAGGGGAGUGAAAAAGAACCUGAAACCGUGUACGUACAAGCAGUGGGAGCACAGGUUUACCUGUGUGACUGCGUACCUUUUGUAUAAUGGGUCAGCGACUUAUAUUCUGUAGCAAGGUUAACCGAAUAGGGGAGCCGGAGGGAAACCGAGUCUUAA
RNAcentral lists this ribosomal RNA (487 nucleotides) under Salmonella enterica. Its description in RNAcentral is "partial 23S ribosomal RNA". It matches the Rfam family "Bacterial large subunit ribosomal RNA", at positions 161 to 687 of the family's 2925-position model. Lineage: Bacteria; Pseudomonadati; Pseudomonadota; Gammaproteobacteria; Enterobacterales; Enterobacteriaceae. The record is from RNAcentral. RNAcentral also lists the same sequence under 1 other name.